Long non-coding RNA from Grammomys surdaster, 211 nucleotides. RefSeq lists it as uncharacterized. The transcript is spliced from 3 exons. Lineage: Eukaryota; Metazoa; Chordata; Mammalia; Rodentia; Muridae. The record is from RefSeq and is a predicted model, not a curated record.
GUCCUUAGCGGGCUGUCUCUGAACCACUCAACAGGCCCAAGAGAUCUCCUCACUACAAAGAAGUUGGGAAGAGGCUCCUCCUUCACCAGGUUUGAAUGAUGGUAUAGAUUACUGGCGUAUGGUGGUCUGACUGAAAAUGGCCCCCAUAGACUUACAGGAAGUGGCCAAAAACUCAAGCCAAAUCCAGUCUCUCACCCUUUUCCUGCUGCCU